CGCAGUAGGAAUAACCAGAGGCAGAAUGAAUAGUUAGGAGACUGUAAGUCUCUGAGGCAGUAGUCUAGGUAAGAUAUACGAAGACUUUCACUAUUAUUUGAGAGGAACAUUCAAAAAGAAGUGUGGAAAGUGAAAUUAAGAAUAUAUCAUUAAUGAUCGCAUAUUAGGGGAACAAAGAAAUCAAGGACAAUUUGGCAUUUUCAGAUUAUGUGAAUGGGACUCUACCUUUGGCAUUACAGGCUCAGUUUGCGAAGAGAGAACAAAAUUGAACCCUGAGGGAAGAUAUUUGUUCCAAGAAGGAAUGGAGAACAAUGAAACACACAAACUGCAGUCUAAGUUUUUUCCCAUGAAAUGUGAGAAGUGACAUGUGCUUUUGGCCCACUCCUGGUCAUAUAGCUGGACACAUCCAUAAUAAAGCACAAGGAUAGAGCAGAGCUACAGAAUAGAAGCAGAUUCCAUCCCUGGAUCCUGAGGUACCAUGUGAAGGAUAGUCACUUGGAAAGUAGGGACACCACACCAAUGUUGAACUCUUUUUUAAAGAACUUCUAUUUGAGCUCUCCUGUUUUUCAUUUGAGCCAUUUUAAAUUCGGAUCUAUUUACCCCAGAUUACUUUGCAUACCAUAAAUAUUUUGUUGAACGUUUUGAAAUUGUUAUUGACUAUUUUUGACAUUCAAAAAUGAAAAUUUCAUAUGAA
Molecule: long non-coding RNA, 694 nt
Organism: Choloepus didactylus (southern two-toed sloth)
Lineage: Eukaryota; Metazoa; Chordata; Mammalia; Pilosa; Megalonychidae
Exons: 3
Source: RefSeq, a predicted model, not a curated record